This 1320-nucleotide long non-coding RNA is filed under the name Panax ginseng (ginseng). Its description in RNAcentral is "long non-coding RNA (PGIN_LNC010540)". The record is from RNAcentral. Lineage: Eukaryota; Viridiplantae; Streptophyta; Magnoliopsida; Apiales; Araliaceae.
CUCGAUCCACCCAAAAACAAUAUAAACUUUUCAAGGUUCCAAAGCCAUACCCUGAACAUUUAAAGUUAUUAUCCCUAUUCCUUGAUCCUAAGCCCCAAGUGUAGUUCGUGCAAAUACUAAACCCCAAAUCUUAUGCCCCUUUGCCACUUUUACUGAUAAUAGGGAUGUGAUCCAAAAAAUGGUUCCUGCAUCACUGUUGCUGCACCUGGAUGCCUACUAUACCUGGGGGUAAUCCAAUUAUCUAUUGUAUGUGAAUGUUCUUUUAAAUAUACUUGAGCUGAGACCUUGCAGCAUUUAUUAGAAACUCUAAAGGAAAGAUGGUUUUUGCCUUUUCUUUCUUCUACGGAGUAGGUACAAGAGCUGAGAGACUGGCACGACUAACAGAGUUGAAGCUUUGCAGACAAUUAGUACUGCAGUUGAUUUCUGUUGUUUGUGACUGUAAUGUUCUCGUUGAGUUGUAAAUGGCUUAGCUGUUGCUCCUUGGCAAGCGGGUUAUGUUGUUCGAGAUGCCUCCAAGAGUCCAGCCUCAUCGCAAUUUUGCAGAAGCUACAUUGUUGCUGGUUCAUUGCCAUCUUUUGCUCAUGAGCAUAGAUAGACAAGCUCGGUACUACCAUGGUAGUCAUAAGCAUCACCCUCUGUGUAAGAAUGCAGUGUAAUCAGAUUCACAAGGAAUGGGCCUCAAUUCCUUUAUAUUCCUAGAUUUGGCAGUUAUGAGCAUUUUGCCCUUAUCUUGUAUCUACAUUCGGACCUUUUUUAGAGACGAGGUAUUUGAGUUCCCCCAUUUCUAUUCCCUUUUUAUCUAUGAACUACUAAAUUUUCAGGAGCCUGUUCCCUACAAUAACAAAAGAAAACUUGUGAUGGUCAGCUUCCUGGUGGAUCUAAGACGAGUUUCAUUGGGUUUCAUCAAUACUUUGUCUGUUCACGGCUACAUGAAACUUAGUUCAGAAGUCGAUCUUUCACAUGUACUAAAUGGUGUGAAAACAACUCCCUCUGGCAGGUGAUCAUGUUCCUCAUUCAUCAAAAUGACACCUGAAGGCCCCUUCAUGUUGGAGGUAUUGUAAGAAAUUAAGGCAAUAUAAAUAGUACUUCUUAUCAACACUUUCUAAAGCAAGAUCUCAUUUUGAUUUUCUGAAGUCAAUUUAUUUUUAGUGAGGUUAAUUUUGUUUCACAAUCAUAUGUACAUACAUACUGAUUUUGUUUUGUGGUUUGCUGGGAUAGUUUGAGACAAUUUUUUACUAUAUUUGGAUUAUGUGAAUUUCUAUAGGUUUUCAUAGAAUGGAAAGGGAAGAGAGUUUAUCUGAUAACUAUUCUUAAUUGUGG